Molecule: non-coding RNA, 201 nt
Filed under: Prevotella sp.
Lineage: Bacteria; Pseudomonadati; Bacteroidota; Bacteroidia; Bacteroidales; Prevotellaceae
Source: RNAcentral
GUCGCCGACGGAAUACUUGGCUUGGGGGCAAUGAAAAAGGGAAGCAGGUGUGAAUCCUGCGCAGUGCCGCUGCUGUAAAUUCCAUUAUCGCCGUCGUCAUAUUUUUAUUGAAACGCCACUGGCUUGAGCCGUCACGUUCAAGCCGGGAAGGUAACGACGGUGGGAACAAGCCAGAAUACCUGCCGUUUUUCAAUGGCUGAA